GGGGUUAUUAAUGGUUUUAAUAGAAAACUUUGCGAAGUUUCUACAGUAGUUCGAUUCUACUUAAUUCCA
RNAcentral lists this transfer RNA (69 nucleotides) under Lactarius subindigo. Its description in RNAcentral is "tRNA-Ala". Lineage: Eukaryota; Fungi; Basidiomycota; Agaricomycetes; Russulales; Russulaceae. The record is from RNAcentral.